AGUAUCGUCGGCAAAUUGAAUAUGUAAAUUCUGAUCAUGAGAGGCAUGAUAGUUAUUUUGUUCCACCGUUGAUGUUCAAGCAUGUUAAGUCAGAAUGUCUGCCCCAAAGAGAUUUUGUUGCAAUUAUACCAGCUGGAUGCAAAUUACCAUCAUGUUGUACAAGUAAAGAAUAUCAUCUUUUGGAUGAGUACAGACGAGAAUGUGAGAUAAAAGUGGACAUACCUCUAUAUCUCCGUGAAAGUGAAUGGUUUGGAAUUGUAGUAUGCCUCCAUGUCUCAGGUGAGAGUGGUGUGAUUUGGUGGGGUAGUAAGGCUGCUGCAGGAGAUGAUUAUAUAUGCAAAGAGUGGGCACAUGAUAUUGAUAUUUGGGAAUCUUAUAAGACUCCUUCUCAUCUGUGCAUAUUAAUGGUAUUGGAAUUAAAUGAGAAAACAUGUUGGCAACAUCUGACACCUCAUAACAAUUCCCUUCACAUUUUACUUUCUACUUUUCAAAGUUCUAACAUUGAAAUAUUGGGAUGUGGGUGGAGAGUGAUAUGUAAAGAAGAGAUGCAAGUGAAUGUCACCCGACCCCACUACUUCCUACUCCUCAUCAGGUCAAGCUUUCACCAACACUUCUUCAUCAAGUAGUUGCAAAAGUUUGGGGAGAAGAGAGAAAAGAGGUACCCAAUCUGCACAAGUGAUGAAAAAGAACAAAUUUCUCAAGAGAAGGUGAUAAAAUGAUGAUGUGGUUUUUCAUAUAUAGCAUUAUGUAUUCAGUUAUCAAGUAGAAUUAACUCAAAUGAUAUGAGUAGCUUUCUGACUGAGAAGAAUGAACAAGACAAAA
Long non-coding RNA from Prosopis cineraria, 822 nucleotides. RefSeq lists it as uncharacterized. The record is from RefSeq and is a predicted model, not a curated record. NCBI's taxonomy places the organism in Eukaryota, Viridiplantae, Streptophyta, Magnoliopsida, Fabales, Fabaceae. The transcript is spliced from 3 exons.